This 463-nucleotide ribosomal RNA is filed under the name uncultured bacterium. RNAcentral describes it as "bacterial SSU rRNA". It matches the Rfam family "Bacterial small subunit ribosomal RNA", at positions 28 to 532 of the family's 1533-position model. The record is from RNAcentral.
GACGAACGCUGGCGGUGUGCUUCACACAUGCAAGUCGAACGAGGUAGCAAUACCUAGUGGCGGACGGGUGAGUAACGCGUGGGAAUCUGCCUUAAGAUGGGGGAUAACGAGCCGAAAGGCUCGCUAAUACCGCAUAUGCCGAAAGGUGAAAGGAGUAAUCCGUCUUAAGAUGAGCCCGCGUCCGAUUAGCUAGUUGGUAGGGUAAAGGCCUACCAAGGCGACGAUCGGUAGCUGGUCUGAGAGGAUGAUCAGCCACAAUGGGACUGAGACACGGCCCAUACUCCUACGGGAGGCAGCAGUGGGGAAUUUUACGCAAUGGGGGAAACCCUGACGUAGCGACACCGCGUGAGCGAAGAAGCCCCUUGGGGUGUAAAGCUCUGUCAGCUGGAACGAAAAAAUGACGGUACCAGCAGAGGAAGCAUCGGCUAACUACGUGCCAGCAGCCGCGGUAAGUCUCGCGUGA